RNAcentral lists this ribosomal RNA (484 nucleotides) under uncultured bacterium. RNAcentral describes it as "partial 16S ribosomal RNA". It matches the Rfam family "Bacterial small subunit ribosomal RNA", at positions 30 to 507 of the family's 1533-position model. The record is from RNAcentral.
AUUGAACGCUAGCGGGAUGCUUUACACAUGCAAGUCGAACGGCAGCGCGGACUUCGGUCUGGCGGCGAGUGGCGAACGGGUGAGUAAUGUAUCGGAACGUGCCCAGUAGCGGGGGAUAACUACGCGAAAGCGUAGCUAAUACCGCAUACGCCCUACGGGGGAAAGCAGGGGAUCGUAAGACCUUGCACUAUUGGAGCGGCCGAUAUCGGAUUAGCUAGUUGGUGAGGUAACGGCUCACCAAGGCGACGAUCCGUAGCUGGUUUGAGAGGACGACCAGCCACACUGGGACCGAGACACGGCCCAGACUCCUACGGGAGGCAGCAGUGGGGAAUUUUGGACAAUGGGGGCAACCCUGAUCCAGCCAUCCCGCGUGUGCGAUGAAGGCCUUCGGGUUGUAAAGCACUUUUGGCAGGAAAGAAACGUCGCGGGCUAAUACCCCGUGGAACUGACGGUACCUGCAGAAUAAGCACCGGCUAACUACGUG